RNAcentral lists this ribosomal RNA (187 nucleotides) under uncultured Rhodobacterales bacterium. RNAcentral's name for it is "partial 16S ribosomal RNA". It matches the Rfam family "Bacterial small subunit ribosomal RNA", at positions 130 to 334 of the family's 1533-position model. The record is from RNAcentral. Lineage: Bacteria; Pseudomonadati; Pseudomonadota; Alphaproteobacteria; Rhodobacterales.
CCUUGGGAGGGAACAACAGCUGGAAACGGCUGCUAAUACCCGUAGGCUGAGGAGCAAAAGGAGGAAUCCGCCCGAGGAGGGGCUCGCGUCUGAUUAGCUAGUUGGUGAGGUAAUAGCUUACCAAGACGAUGAUCAGUAGCCGGUCCGAGAGGAUGAUCAGCCACACUGGGACUGAGACACGGCCCAG